This 253-nucleotide ribosomal RNA is filed under the name uncultured bacterium. Its description in RNAcentral is "partial 16S ribosomal RNA". It matches the Rfam family "Bacterial small subunit ribosomal RNA", at positions 524 to 776 of the family's 1533-position model. The record is from RNAcentral.
UACGUAGGGUGCGAGCGUUAAUCGGAAUUACUGGGCGUAAAGCGUGCGCAGGCGGUUUGUUAAGUCUGAUGUGAAAGCCCCGGGCUCAACCUGGGAACUGCAUUGGAAACUGGCAAGCUCGAGUAUGGCAGAGGGGGGUGGAAUUCCGCGUGUAGCAGUGAAAUGCGUAGAGAUGCGGAGGAACACCGAUGGCGAAGGCAGUCCCCUGGGCCAAUACUGACGCUCAGGCACGAAAGCGUGGGGAGCAAACAGG